GAUUACAACUGGUUUUUGUGGCGCAUAAGGAUUAGGGAAUAGUAGUAGUUUUCUUGUUUAUUUAGUUAAUUAUUUAUCAUGUCAAGUGCUUGCUUGCUUGCUUGCUUGCUGCCGUCAGAUUCGGACGCUGACGGGUGCGAUGAGGUGGCUCAUCCGUGGACGACAGGCCCAAGCAAAAGAUAGAAGGGUAAAGUAGUCGUUUGCGCUGCUCAUCGGGAUUCCUUAGCGCGACACGUAGCACCGUGAUUACGUCGCUCCAUUGUGUCACCGGUGGGAUAGCGUCAGAGGUGGCAUGUAGUGGUGGUCGCCGGAGAUGAGUUGGCAGACAGCUGGCACUGUCGUCGCAGAGACGUGAUAAUCCCCUUCAAAGAAUUGGAGACCUACCACUUAACGGGCCCUUCUGGCUACCUGCUCUCUGAUUGGGAAUGCUUCCAGCUAAGUAAUCAGAGGACAGGUAGGAAAGAAGGGUAGGGUUGGGAGAAAGCCUCGUUCCGAGGCGAGCAGGGCAUGUCAUGCCAUCCCAUUCUUGCUGACGCGGCUGGGGCCCCGCUCUCGUUCCCCACGCCCUCUUCGCCACCAAAUAAAAUGCCCUCGACGCGCCCUCACCCCAAAUUGCAAGAACAAGUGAUUUAGCAGAGAGAGAGAGAGAGAGAGAUGGCGUCCUCUGAAGUUCAAGAGGAAGAGAAGAAGGUGCCAUCGGCGGCCGCUUUGAGUGGGGACGAAAGAGAGAAGCAAUCGACCAACGCGGUCGCCUUUGCUGAGACGGAGCUGUAGCCACCACCCACCUACAUAUCAUCAUAUCUAUCUCCCGCCCUGCCCCUUCCAAUUCGAUCUCGGCCAAGCGUGCUUUUAGAUUUGUUCUCGGUCAUGUCGGCGACGGUGAAAAACGGGGGAGACGCUGCGGCGGUGGAGGUGGAGUUCGCGGCGUGCGACUGCUGCGGGCUCAUGGAGGAGUGCACGCCGGCGUACAUCGCCGGCGUACGGGAGCGGCACGGCGGGCGGUGGAUCUGCGGUCUCUGCGCCGAGGCCGUCCAGGACGAGAUCCGCCGCUCCGGGCCCCUCAUCUCGCUCGAGGAGGCCAUGGGCCGUCAUGCAAGCUUCCGCCGAAGCUUCCGCUCGGCUGAGGCCGCAGCGGUGGAUCCGGCGGAGCAGCUGAUCGCCGCCGUGAGGCAGCUCCUCCGGCGGAACCUCGACUCACCGCGGGCUGUGCGGUCGACCCCGGGCAGCCCCCGAACCAUGGUUGGGCCCCGGACCCGGAGAGGCUUUCCGACCUUUAUUUGCUUGGCGGAUGAGGAUAAGAAUCGAAUCGCAUAGGAAAAGCAAAAGAAAAUGAAAGAAGAACAGAAAGGGAGCGUUUCCAAUUUCCAACGAGUAAAACUCGUUGCUUAAUCUCGAGGAUUCCAAGAGUAGUUUUAUGUUAUGCGAAAAAAAUUGCACAAAUUUUCCGCUGGAUUAUGCACGAGUCUUUCUUCUUUCACAAGUAUACAUACUACUUGUCAUUUGAAGUGAAAAGAAUCACUGAGAAUGGAAGAAUUCCAUCUUCAAGACUCAUUUUAUAUCAUUAGAAUGGAAUCAGCUUUGUGUUUUUGGUA
Musa acuminata AAA Group (dessert banana) is the source of this 1592-nucleotide long non-coding RNA. RefSeq lists it as uncharacterized. The record is from RefSeq and is a predicted model, not a curated record. Lineage: Eukaryota; Viridiplantae; Streptophyta; Magnoliopsida; Zingiberales; Musaceae. The transcript has 2 exons.